RNAcentral lists this ribosomal RNA (404 nucleotides) under uncultured prokaryote. Its description in RNAcentral is "bacterial SSU rRNA". It matches the Rfam family "Bacterial small subunit ribosomal RNA", at positions 355 to 776 of the family's 1533-position model. The record is from RNAcentral.
UGGGGAAUAUUGCACAAUGGGCGAAAGCCUGAUGCAGCAACGCCGCGUGAGCGAUGAAGGCCUUCGGGUCGUAAAGCUCUGUCCUCAAGGAAGAUAAUGACGGUACUUGAGGAGGAAGCCCCGGCUAACUACGUGCCAGCAGCCGCGGUAAUACGUAGGGGGCAAGCGUUGUCCGGAAUGACUGGGCGUAAAGGGCGUGUAGGCGGCCGAUUAAGUCUGGAGUGAAAGUCCACUUUUCAAGGGUGGAAUUGCUUUGGAUACUGAUUGGCUUGAGUGCGGAAGAGGUAAGUGGAAUUCCCAGUGUAGCGGUGAAAUGCGUAGAGAUUGGGAGGAACACCAGUGGCGAAGGCGACUUACUGGGCCGUAACUGACGCUGAGGCGCGAAAGCGUGGGGAGCGAACAGG